GAUCCAUGCUCGCGGCCUAUCAGCUUGUUGGUGAGGUAACGGCUCACCAAGGCGACGACGGGUAGCCAGCCUGAGAGGGCGACCGGCCACACUGGGACUGAGAUACGGCCCAGACUCCUACGGGAGGCAGCAGUGGGGAAUAUUGCGCAAUGGGCGAAAGCCUGACGCAGCAACGCCGCGUGCGGGAUGACGGCCUUCGGGUUGUAAACCGCUUUCAGCAGGGACGAAGGGUUUCUGACGGUACCUGCAGAAGAAGCACCGGCUAACUACGUGCCAGCAGCCGCGGUGAUACGUAGGGUGCGAGCGUUGUCCGGAAUUAUUGGGCGUAAAGAGCUUGUAGGCGGUCCGUUGCGUCGGAAGUGAAAACUCAGGGCUUAACCCUGAGCCUGCUUUCGAUACGGGCGGACUUGAGGGAUGUAGGGGAGAACGGAAUUCCUGGUGGAGCGGUGGAAUGCGCAGAUAUCAGGAGGAACACCAGUGGCGAAGGCGGUUCUCUGGACAUUUCCUGACGCUGAGAAGCGAAAGCGUGGGGAGCAAACAGGCUUAGAUACCCUGGUAGUCCACGCCGUAAACGGUGGGCACUAGGUGUGGGACCCUUCCACGGGUUCCGUGCCGUAGCUAACGCAUUAAGUGCCCCGCCUGGGGAGUACGGGUGCCUAUGAUGGAGCUACCACAUAAA
This 679-nucleotide ribosomal RNA is filed under the name Propionicimonas paludicola. Its description in RNAcentral is "bacterial SSU rRNA". It matches the Rfam family "Bacterial small subunit ribosomal RNA", at positions 222 to 898 of the family's 1533-position model. The record is from RNAcentral. Lineage: Bacteria; Bacillati; Actinomycetota; Actinomycetes; Propionibacteriales; Nocardioidaceae.